UCCACGUGGGAAGGUCAGGAUUCCAUGUGGGAACAUCGGGAUCCUGUAGGAACACCAGGAUUCCACGUGGGAACGUCCAAAUUCCACGUGGGAACGUCGGGGCCCUGUGUGGGACUGUCCAAAUUCCACGUGGGAAUUCCAGGAUCCCAUGUGGGAACGUCAGGAUUUCUCGUGGGAAUGUCAGGAUUCCGUGUGGGAACGUCGGGAUCCUGUAGGAACACCAGGAUUCCACAUGGGAACACCAGGAUUCCACGUGGGACUGUCCAAAUUCCACGUGGGAACGUCAGGAUUCCGUGUGGGACUGUCCAAAUUCCACAUGGGAAUGUCGGGGUCCCGGUGGGAACGCCGGGAUCCCUUUGGACCGUGCGCUCUCUCUCUCUCUCUCCACGCUCAGAUCAGAUCUCUCUCGAUAAACCACGGCUCCAA
Non-coding RNA from Zonotrichia albicollis (white-throated sparrow), 426 nucleotides. The record is from RefSeq and is a predicted model, not a curated record. Lineage: Eukaryota; Metazoa; Chordata; Aves; Passeriformes; Passerellidae.